Molecule: ribosomal RNA, 498 nt
Filed under: uncultured bacterium
Lineage: Bacteria
Description: partial 16S ribosomal RNA
Rfam family: Bacterial small subunit ribosomal RNA
Source: RNAcentral
GAUGAACGCUGGCGGCGUGCCUAAUACAUGCAAGUCGAGCGAACAGACGAGGAGCUUGCUCCUUUGACGUUAGCGGCGGACGGGUGAGUAACACGUAGGUAACCUACCUAUAAGACUGGGAUAACUUCGGGAAACCGGAGCUAAUACCGGAUAAUAUUUCGAACCGCAUGGUUCGAUAGUGAAAGAUGGCUUUGCUAUCACUUAUAGAUGGACCUGCGCCGUAUUAGCUAGUUGGUAAGGUAACGGCUUACCAAGGCAACGAUACGUAGCCGACCUGAGAGGGGUGGUCGCCACCCUGGGACGGGGACCGGGCACAAUCCUCCUGAGGGAGGCAGCAGAGGGGUAUCUCCGGCAGUGGGGGAAAGCAUGCCGGAACACCGCGGCGUGAGAGAUAAGGGUUUUGGGUUCGUAAACCUUUUUUUUGGGGGAAAAACAACGUUGUAAGAAACUGUACCGUUCUUGACGGUACCUAAUAAAAAAGCCCCGGCUAACUACGUG